RNAcentral lists this ribosomal RNA (494 nucleotides) under uncultured bacterium. RNAcentral describes it as "partial 16S ribosomal RNA". It matches the Rfam family "Bacterial small subunit ribosomal RNA", at positions 28 to 523 of the family's 1533-position model. The record is from RNAcentral.
GAUGAACGCUGGCGGCGUGCUUAACACAUGCAAGUCGAGCGAAGCACUAAGUCUGAUUCUUCGGAUGAAGACUUUUGUGACUGAGCGGCGGCCGGGUGAGUAACGCGUGGGUAACCUGCCUCAUACAGGGGGAUAACAGCUAGAAAUGACUGCUAAUACCGCAUAAGACCACGGUACCGCAUGGUACAGUGGUAAAAACUCCGGUGGUAUGAGAGGGACCCGCGCCUGAUUAGGUAGUUGGUGGGGUAACGGCCUACCAAGCCGACGAUCAGUAGCCCACCUGAGAGGGUGACCGGCCACGUUGGGACUGAGACACGGCCCAGACUCCUACGGGAGGCAGCAGUGGGGAAUAUUGCACAAUGGAGGAAACUCUGAUGCAGCGACGCCGCGUGAAGGAUGAAGUAUUUCGGUAUGUAAACUUCUAUCAGCAGGGAAGAAAAUGACGGUACCUGACUAAGAAGCCCCGGCUAACUACGUGCCAGCCGCCGCUGUAA